Molecule: long non-coding RNA, 1957 nt
Filed under: Bemisia tabaci
Lineage: Eukaryota; Metazoa; Arthropoda; Insecta; Hemiptera; Aleyrodidae
Description: lncRNA ENSASIAIIG000841
Source: RNAcentral
GUUCAACAACUGGAUCUUGAAAAGGUGGAUCUUGCGGAAAAUUUUGAAGCAAAGAAGAAUCAGAGGUAUCUGUUGGGAGUAGAAGAGAUAUUUGGGUCUGCCGAGUGUGGUAACCGUGUAUUAGCUCACCGAGAGCGGUUGGCUCUCGAGAAUGUUCCAAUAGAUUUCUGUCAUGGCGUCAACUUGAUUUGGUCUCGUUUUUCUUGUCGUCUGUCCCACAACCCAACAUGGUGUCAGUUUGGCAAACAUUGUAAAGCAAAAAUCUGGAAAACAAGACGGACAUCAAUUCUGCAUGAAUGAAAGCUGGGCACUUUUUUUCAACCUCCUUUGGAUAAUGAGAAGGAAAUUUGACAACAAUGCAUUAGAAGAAUGUAAAUCUUAUCAUUGAGAGCUAAUCAACCUCCAGUUUAAAUUUGAAUAGUACAAAUGGUUGGACUGACAAAGGUAUAAUUAAAAUUUCCAUUGGUGCAAAAUUAGUUUUGAAAUUAUUUCCUUCAUUCUAAAUUACAUCCCAAAAUUCCUUUGGAGGGCAUUCAUUCACGAGGUAUGUUUUUUUUUUUUUUUUUUUUUUUUUGAAAAUGUACCAGUCAAAUAGAAAAUUUAAUCUUGAAAAUCAGGGUAAAUAUUUUUAUUUUAGUUAUUUAACAUCUUUUGAUGAUGAUGUGUAAUUCAUAUAUUGGAAUAUGGUGGUGAAAAGUUGUUGUAAAAGAACUAUGGCAAUGACGUAGGAGCAAAACCAGGUAUCUCUGUUUGCAGACUUCCUGACAUACUAAAUGUUUUCUUCCACAAAUUCCUCAUCAUAACUUCUGCCAAGUUUCCUUGAUUUUUCUUCACUCUUACAAUUAGCAGAAUACUCUGUACAAGUUUCAUAAAGUCAUAAAAUUGGCUUGCUUCGCUUCAAAAAAAAAAAAAAAGGGGGGGGGGAAUAGGAGCAGCAAUUUUGAAAUACUGCGAUGGAGAUUCUCACUUUGGUCAUCGAUGUACAGCUUCAACAAAACUUUGUUCACACUUUUAACUAAAUUCUUUGUCCAUAACAACACAAUGUUCUCAUAUCAAAGUUGUACUAGGUAGAUUACAGAAUGUUGGUGAAAAACCGAUGGACUAAAAAGUUAAGGGAUAUCUUCCCAUUAUAUACGAUGCAUCACUAUGCAAAAUCUUAGACAUUAUUACUAGCUGUAAGCUGUAUUUAAGCUGUAAGUGGUUGUUCAUAAGAACUUGUCAAUUUAAAAUGCAAUACUCUAAAUUUGAAUUAAAUUUCUUGAGCUUGCAACAUUUUAGGAGAGAUCUUUGACAGGUUUUGAACUAAAAUAUAAGAAAAUAAGAACAGAAAAAAUAUGAGCUAUUUUACCUAAAAAAUUGUUCCAGUUCUCAUAGAUUCACAAAAUGAUUUUACUCGAUGAAAAAUAUUUAUAACUCAUACCUGAGACAAAUCUAUGGAGGCCAGUUUGGAUAAAUUGGUUGCUUUAAAGAGCAACUCAUGCUCAGAUAUAUCCAGUGGCUCUGGCGCCAUUUUGAAAUGUUUUUAAAUCUGUGAAAAGGAGGAAUCUACAUUAGGAAGAGGGUAACAAAAUUCUUUGGGCUUCUUUUAUUCAAGUACCUGCAAUAUGAUGAACAGGUUUUAAAAUUGUUAUAAAAGCAACCUUCCGAAAAUAACACCACUCACUACGAGAUUAAUCGAUAUUUUGCUGACUACUUUUACUUGUGUAAACAGUCUAUAGCAGAUCAUAUAGCCAGUCGUACAGUGCGGAGAGUGAUACAGUAAGAUAACCGCUGAAGUUGACACCUUAAACAGGAGUUUAAAUCCUCUCAAAUAAAGUAUACAAAGAUACAAAGUAUAAGGCAAAAUGCUUUAGUUCUUGAUGAAUUAAUUAUAGGUACCUUAUAUUAAUUAUACAUACCCACUCUAAUCAAUUAAAAACAGAGAGUACACUGUGAACUGAAAAUAAAUAUUCUUGAG